RNAcentral lists this ribosomal RNA (506 nucleotides) under uncultured bacterium. Its description in RNAcentral is "partial 16S ribosomal RNA". It matches the Rfam family "Bacterial small subunit ribosomal RNA", at positions 30 to 523 of the family's 1533-position model. The record is from RNAcentral.
AUUGAACGCUGGCGGCAGGCCUAACACAUGCAAGUCGAACGGUAACAGGAAACAGCUUGCUGUUUCGCUGACGAGUGGCGGACGGGUGAGUAAUGUCUGGGAAACUGCCUGAUGGAGGGGGAUAACUACUGGAAACGGUAGCUAAUCCCGCAUAACGUCGCAAGAACAAAGAGGGGGACCUUCGGGCCUCUUGCCAUCGGAUGUGCCCAGAUGGGAUUAGCUAGUAGGUGGGGUAACGGCUCACCUAGGCGACGAUCCCUAGCUGGUCUGAGAGGACGACCAGCCACACUGGAACUGAGACACGGUCCAGACUCCUACGGGAGGCAGCAGUGGGGAAUAUUGCACAAUGGGCGCAAGCCUGAUGCAGCCAUGUCGCGUGUAUGAAGAAGGCCUUCGGGUUGUAAAGUACUUUCAGCGGGGAGGAAGGGAGUAAAGUUAAUACCUUUGCUCAUUGACGUUACCCGCAGAAGAAGCACCGGCUAACUCCGUGCCAGCAGCCGCCGUAA